Molecule: ribosomal RNA, 440 nt
Filed under: uncultured Smithella sp.
Lineage: Bacteria; Pseudomonadati; Thermodesulfobacteriota; Syntrophia; Syntrophales; Smithellaceae
Description: bacterial SSU rRNA
Rfam family: Bacterial small subunit ribosomal RNA
Source: RNAcentral
GGUUUUAAUUCGAUGCAACGCGAAGAACCUUACUAGGCUUGACACUCCCUGGAAUUUGUGGAAACACAAAAGUGCCUUUCGGGGAACCAGGAGACAGGUGCUGCAUGGCUGUCGUCAGCUCGUGUCGUGAAAUGUUGGGUUAAGUCCCGCAACGAGCGCAACCCUUAUCUUUAAUUGCCAGCAUUCAGUUGGGCACUUUAAAGAGACUGCCGGUGUUAAACCGGAGGAAGGUGGGGAUGACGUCAAGUCCUCAUGGCCUUUAUGGGUAGGGCUUCACACGUCAUACAAUGGUCGGUACAGAGGGUUGCCAAGCCGCGAGGUGGAGCCAAUCCCUUAAAGCCGAUCGUAGUCCGGAUCGUAGUCUGCAACUCGACUACGUGAAGUCGGAAUCGCUAGUAAUCGCGGAUCAGCAUGCCGCGGUGAAUACGUUCCCGGGCCUU